Molecule: unclassified non-coding RNA, 379 nt
Filed under: uncultured Gemmatimonadaceae bacterium
Lineage: Bacteria; Pseudomonadati; Gemmatimonadota; Gemmatimonadia; Gemmatimonadales; Gemmatimonadaceae
Description: contains 16S-23S intergenic spacer region
Source: RNAcentral
UCCGGUUUGACACCGGCAGUCUCCCUAGAGUGCCCACCCGAAGUGCUGGCAACUAAAGACAAGGGUUGCGCUCGUUGCGGGACUUAACCCAACAUCUCACGACACGAGCUGACGACAGCCAUGCAGCACCUGUGUUCUGGUUCCCUUUCGGGCACAACCCCAUCUCUGAGGUCUUCCAGACAUGUCAAGGCCAGGUAAGGUUCUUCGCGUUGCAUCGAAUUGAACCACAUGCUCCACCGCUUGUGCGGGUCCCCGUCAAUUCAUUUGAGUUUCAACCUUGCGGCCGUGCUCCCCAGGCGGACAACUUAACGCGUUAGCUGCGACACCAAGAGGCUAACCCUCCCGACAUCUAGUUGUCAUCGUUUAUGGCGUGGACUAC